UAGGGAAUCUUCCGCAAUGGGCGAAAGCCUGACGGAGCAACGCCGCGUGAGUGAUGAAGGUCUUCGGAUCGUAAAACUCUGUUAUUAGGGAAGAAUAAAUGUGUAAGUAACUAUGCACGUCUUGACGGUACCUAAUCAGAAAGCCACGGCUAACUACGUGCCAGCAGCCGCGGUAAUACGUAGGUGGCAAGCGUUAUCCGGAAUUAUUGGGCGUAAAGCGCGCGUAGGCGGUUUUUUAAGUCUGAUGUGAAAGCCCACGGCUCAACCGUGGAGGGUCAUUGGAAACUGGAAAACUUGAGUGCAGAAGAGGAAAGUGGAAUUCCAUGUGUAGCGGUGAAAUGCGCAGAGAUAUGGAGGAACACCAGUGGCGAAGGCGACUCUCUGGUCUGUAACUGACGCUGAGGCUCGAAAGCGUGGGUAGCAAACAGG
This 429-nucleotide ribosomal RNA is filed under the name Bacteroidota bacterium. Its description in RNAcentral is "Bacteroidetes bacterium partial 16S ribosomal RNA". It matches the Rfam family "Bacterial small subunit ribosomal RNA", at positions 355 to 776 of the family's 1533-position model. The record is from RNAcentral. Lineage: Bacteria; Pseudomonadati; Bacteroidota.